UACGGAGGGGGCAAGCGUUAUUCGGAAUUAUUGGGCGUAAAGGGCGCGUAGGCGGCUAGAUGUGUCAAAGGUGAAAUCCCUCGGCUCAACUGAGGAACUGCCUUUGAAACUGUCUGGCUUGAGGCCGGGAGAGGGUAGCGGAAUUCCCAGUGUAGCGGUGAAAUGCGUAGAUAUCGGGAGGAACACCUAUGGCGAAGGCAGCUCGCUGGGACGUUACUGACGCUGAGACGCGAAAGCGUGGGGAGCAAACAGG
This 253-nucleotide ribosomal RNA is filed under the name uncultured bacterium. RNAcentral describes it as "partial 16S ribosomal RNA". It matches the Rfam family "Bacterial small subunit ribosomal RNA", at positions 524 to 776 of the family's 1533-position model. The record is from RNAcentral.